GUUGGUUGAAAAACACCCUCGGCUUUGGCCGUGGCCACGGGUGAGAUUCGGCGCCCAGAGCCUCACUGCGCGCUGCUCCACGUGCCGCGGGGAAACCCAGGCCCAGACAGGC
Small nucleolar RNA from Cercocebus atys (sooty mangabey), 112 nucleotides. The record is from Ensembl. Lineage: Eukaryota; Metazoa; Chordata; Mammalia; Primates; Cercopithecidae.